CUAUUUUCUUCCACUUUUUGAACAAUAAUCGACAUAUUUUCCUUUUUAAUUGAAACAAACUUUCCAAUCUUCAAAUUUUAACCAUUUUCAAUUCCCAAAGCAACAUUGAUACUUCACAAAGUCUAUCCAAAAUCUCAUUCGUUUCUCUCUCCAUCUCCACUUCUCUACCAACUUUGUCUCCACUUCUAUACCCACUCUUCCUUUCUCCCUCCGACUCCAUCAAUCUCUUUGCUUGAAGAUGUGAAGGUUCUGGUUGCUUAUAUAAUAUUGUUGUUUUUAUUUAUGUUUCAACAUAAUGGUACUCAUAGGAUUGGAUCUCUUUUCGCACCUGUUGUGUUGACGUGGCUGAUAUGCAGCAGUUCUGUAUUGUAGCACUUUAUCUUUGAACUUAUGCAAGUGAAUUUGCAUCCCUGUGAAGCGAGCUGCAACAAGUGUGGGACGAUUGUAACCACCAAAUAUCUCAAGUGAAAACUUUAAGUAGUGAAAUAGUCAAGUUUAAAGAUUCUUCAUAAAAGUAUGGUUCUGAACUGAACAACUUAACCAUGAAAACAUAGAAAUUGGAGACAAAAUGUCCUUUUCAAGAUAAUCAUAUAAUGGAAUUACAAGAGAAACUAAUGAUUGCGGAGAACAAACUCGAGGUGUGGUCACUGUAAGCAGCUUGUAUGGUCACACAAAGUUUGAAUACAAAUUAUGUUGUUCCUUAGUGGAAUCCGCAAUUUGAAUAUGGUGGUAGCCAGUUUAAAUCCUAAUUGUUCUUGAUGAUGUGUGGUUAAAAUAUGUAUUGGACCAACUUGUGUUUAGAAUACCUCAUGUCAAUUAUAUUAUUAUCUCAAGUUUAAGAUUCGUUGACACAAUUUAUUAAGUGGAAAUGUUACUGAUGAGAUUUCUCUGAACGAUGAGGUAUAGCGAUUUUUGUAAAUGUUUUUUGUUA
Long non-coding RNA from Lathyrus oleraceus (garden pea), 931 nucleotides. RefSeq lists it as uncharacterized. The record is from RefSeq and is a predicted model, not a curated record. Lineage: Eukaryota; Viridiplantae; Streptophyta; Magnoliopsida; Fabales; Fabaceae. The transcript is spliced from 4 exons.